RNAcentral lists this long non-coding RNA (213 nucleotides) under Lathyrus oleraceus (garden pea). Its description in RNAcentral is "Pisum sativum (pea) long non-coding RNA (PSAT_LNC022186)". Lineage: Eukaryota; Viridiplantae; Streptophyta; Magnoliopsida; Fabales; Fabaceae. The record is from RNAcentral.
AUAAAUUGCCUCUAUUUUAACCAUAUUUGGGUCAUUUGAUGCAUAGAUGAAACCAUGUCUUUACAUUAACUUGUUAAUCCAUUUGCUUAUUGUUACUAACUACUAAUUACUAACUCCUAAUAUUUAUAUUAUUGCAAUUUAUUUUAUUGUUCAUUUUAUUUCAUUUACUUUAUGUUUAUGUUCACUAACUACUAACUUCUAACAUUUAUAUUA